Molecule: ribosomal RNA, 250 nt
Filed under: uncultured bacterium
Lineage: Bacteria
Description: partial 16S ribosomal RNA
Rfam family: Bacterial small subunit ribosomal RNA
Source: RNAcentral
UACAGAGGGUGCAAGCGUUAAUCGGAAUGACUGGGCGUAAAGGGCGCGUAGGCGGACUGAUGAGUCAUAGGUGAAAUCCCCGGGCUUAACCUGGGAACUGCCUAUGAAACUAUUAAUCUAGAAUAUAGGAGAGGGGAGUGGAAUUUCCGGUGUAGCGGUGAAAUGCGUAGAUAUCGGAAAGAACACCAGUGGCGAAGGCGACUCUCUGGCCUAAUAUUGACGCUGAGGCGCGAAAGCGUGGGGAGCAAAC